This 497-nucleotide ribosomal RNA is filed under the name uncultured bacterium. RNAcentral describes it as "partial 16S ribosomal RNA". It matches the Rfam family "Bacterial small subunit ribosomal RNA", at positions 28 to 507 of the family's 1533-position model. The record is from RNAcentral.
GAUGAACGCUGGCGGCGUGCCUAAUACAUGCAAGUCGAGCGAACAGACGAGGAGCUUGCUCCUCUGACGUUAGCGGCGGACGGGUGAGUAACACGUGGAUAACCUACCUAUAAGACUGGGAUAACUUCGGGAAACCGGAGCUAAUACCGGAUAAUAUAUUGAACCGCAUGGUUCAAUAGUGAAAGACGGUUUUGCUGUCACUUAUAGAUGGACCCGCGCCGCAUUAGCUAGUUGGUAAGGUAACGGCUUACCAAGGCAACGAUGCGUAGCCGACCUGAGAGGGUGAUCGGCCACACUGGAACUGAGACACGGUCCAGACUCCUACGGGAGGCAGCAGUAGGGAAUCUUCCGCAAUGGGCGAAAGCCUGACGGAGCAACGCCGCGUGAGUGAUGAAGGUCUUCGGAUCGUAAAACUCUGUUAUUAGGGAAGAACAAAUGUGUAAGUAACUAUGCACGUCUUGACGGUAACGAAUCAGAAAGCAACGGCUAACUACGUG